This 426-nucleotide ribosomal RNA is filed under the name uncultured archaeon. Its description in RNAcentral is "bacterial SSU rRNA". It matches the Rfam family "Archaeal small subunit ribosomal RNA", at positions 474 to 903 of the family's 1478-position model. The record is from RNAcentral.
UACCAGCUCUUCGAGUGGUGUGGAUGUUUAUUGGGCCUAAAGCAUCCGUAGCUGGCUGGGCAAGUCCCCUGUUAAAUCCACCGAUUCAAUCGUUGGAGUGCGGGGGAUACUGCUCGGCUAGGGGACGGGAGAGGCAGACGGUAUUUUCGGGGUAGGGGUGAAGUCCUAUAAUCCCGGGAAGACCACCAGUGGCGAAGGCUGUCUGCUAGAACGUGCCCGACGGUGAGGGAUGAAAGCUGGGGGGAGCGAACCGGAUUAGAUACCCGGGUAGUCCCAGCUGUAAACGAUGCAGGCUAGGUGUUUGGACGGUCACGUGCCGUUCUAGUGCCGCAGGGAAGCCGUUAAGCCUGCCGCCUGGGGAUACGGCCGCAAGGCUGAAACUUAAGGAAUUGGCGGGGAGCACCACAAGGGUGAGGCUUGCGGUUU